RNAcentral lists this ribosomal RNA (244 nucleotides) under uncultured bacterium. RNAcentral's name for it is "partial small subunit ribosomal RNA". It matches the Rfam family "Bacterial small subunit ribosomal RNA", at positions 26 to 285 of the family's 1533-position model. The record is from RNAcentral.
AGAAUCAACGCUGGCGGCGUGCCUAACACAUGCAAGUCGAACGAGUAAAGUGGAGCAAUCCAUGAGUAAAGUGGCGCACGGGUGAGUAACACGUGACUAACCUACCCUUGAGUGGGGAAUAACUUCGGGAACCGAGGCUAAUACCGCAUAACACCUACGGGUCAAAGGAGCAAUUCGCUUAAGGAGGGGUCGCGGCAGAUUAGUUAGUUGGCGGGGUAAUGGCCCACCAAGACAGUGAUCUGUA